CCGACCCGCACGAAAGGCGUAACGAUUUGGGCACUGUCUCAACGAGAGACUCGGUGAAAUCAUAGUACCUGUGAAGAUGCAGGUUACCCGCGACAGGACGGAAAGACCCCGUGGAGCUUUACUGUAGCCUGAUAUUGAAAUUCGGCACAGCUUGUACAGGAUAGGUAGGAGCCUUUGAAACGUGAGCGCUAGCUUACGUGGAGGCGCUGGUGGGAUACUACCCUAGCUGUGUUGGCUUUCUAACCCGCACCACUUAUCGUGGUGGGAGACAGUGUCAGGCGGGCAGUUUGACUGGGGCGGUCGCCUCCUAAAAGGUAACGGAGGCGCUCAAAGGUUCCCUCAGAAUGGUUGGAAAUCAUUCAUAGAGUGUAAAGGCAUAAGGGAGCUUGACUGCGAGACCUACAAGUCGAGCAGGGUCGAAAGACGGACUUAGUGAUCCGGUGGUUCCGCAUGGAAGGGCCAUCGCUCAACGGAUAAAAGCUACCCCGGGGAUAACAGGCUUAUCUCCCCCAAGAGUUCACAUCGACGGGGAGGUUUGGCACCUCGAUGUCGGCUCAUCGCAUCCUGGGGCUGUAGUCGGUCCCAAGGGUUGGGCUGUUCGCCCAUUAAAGCGGUACGCGAGCUGGGUUCAGAACGUCGUGAGACAGUUCGGUCCCUAUCCGUCGUGGGCGUAGGAAAUUUGAGAGGAGCUGUCCUUAGUACGAGAGGACCGGGAUGGACAUACCUCUGGUGUACCAGUUGUCGUGCCAACGGCAUAGCUGGGUAGCUAUGUGUGGACGGGAUAAGUGCUGAAAGCAUCUAAGCAUGAAGCCCCCCUCAAGAUGAGAUUUCCCAACUUCGGUUAUAAGAUCCCUCAAAGAUGAUGAGGUUAAUAGGUUCGAGGUGGAAGCAUGGUGACAUGUGGAGCUGACGAAUACUAAUCGAUCGAAGACUUAAUCAAAA
This 942-nucleotide ribosomal RNA is filed under the name Staphylococcus aureus. RNAcentral's name for it is "partial 23S ribosomal RNA". It matches the Rfam family "Bacterial large subunit ribosomal RNA", at positions 1983 to 2925 of the family's 2925-position model. Lineage: Bacteria; Bacillati; Bacillota; Bacilli; Caryophanales; Staphylococcaceae. The record is from RNAcentral.